UAAACGCUGGCGGCGUGCUUAACACAUGCAAGUCGAACGGAGUAUUCCUCCCGAAGAUUGAAGAAGCUUGCUUCUGAUUGAUUCAUUUGGAAUACUUAGUGGCGGACGGGUGAGUAACGCGUGGGUAACCUGCCUCACACUGGGGGAUAGCAGUUGGAAACGACUGAUAAUACCGCAUAAGCACACGGUACCGCAUGGUACAGCGUGAAAAACUCCGGUGGUGUGAGAUGGACCCGCGUCUGAUUAGCUAGUUGGUGAGGUAACGGCCCACCAAGGCGACGAUCAGUAGCCGGCCUGAGAGGGUGUACGGCCACAUUGGGACUGAGACACGGCCCAAACUCCUACGGGAGGCAGCAGUGGGGAAUAUUGCACAAUGGGGGAAACCCUGAUGCAGCGACGCCGCGUGAGUGAUGAAGUAUCUCGGUAUGUAAAGCUCUAUCAGCAGGGAAGAAAGGCCCGAAAGGGAGAUGACGGUACCUGACUAAGAAGCCCCGGCUAACUACGUGCCAGCAGCAGC
RNAcentral lists this ribosomal RNA (517 nucleotides) under uncultured bacterium. Its description in RNAcentral is "bacterial SSU rRNA". It matches the Rfam family "Bacterial small subunit ribosomal RNA", at positions 30 to 518 of the family's 1533-position model. The record is from RNAcentral.